RNAcentral lists this ribosomal RNA (379 nucleotides) under uncultured bacterium. RNAcentral's name for it is "bacterial SSU rRNA". It matches the Rfam family "Bacterial small subunit ribosomal RNA", at positions 975 to 1352 of the family's 1533-position model. The record is from RNAcentral.
CAGCCCUUGACAUCCCGGUCGCGGUUUCCAGAGAUGGAUUCCUUCAGUUCGGCUGGACCGGUGACAGGUGCUGCAUGGCUGUCGUCAGCUCGUGUCGUGAGAUGUUGGGUUAAGUCCCGCAACGAGCGCAACCCUCGCCCUUAGUUGCCAGCAUUCAGUUGGGCACUCUAAGGGGACUGCCGGUGAUAAGCCGAGAGGAAGGUGGGGAUGACGUCAAGUCCUCAUGGCCCUUACGGGCUGGGCUACACACGUGCUACAAUGGUGGUGACAGUGGGCAGCGAGACGGCAACGUCGAGCUAAUCUCCAAAAACCAUCUCAGUUCGGAUUGGGGUCUGCAACUCGACCCCAUGAAGUUGGAAUCGCUAGUAAUCGCGAUCAG